AGGGAGGGGCGGCCAGGGGAGGGGACCAGGUGAGGGGCGGCUAGGGGAGGGGGCGGCCUGGUGAGGGAGGGCCAGGUGAGGGGCCCGGGGAAGGGCGACCAGGUGAGGGGGUCAGGGGAGGGGCGACCAGAUGAGGGGCGAUUAGGUGAGGGGCGGCCAGGUGAGGGGCGGCCAGGUGAGGAGCGACCAGGGGAGGGGGCCAGGUGAGGGGCGGCCGAGGAGGGGGUCAGGUGAGGAGCAGCCAGGGGAGGGGGGGCCAGGUGAGGUGCGACCAGGUGAGGGGCGGCCUCGCCCACGGCCCGCCGCCCUCCGCCCACCCGCAGGGGCCCGACCCGGCCCGGCAGCCCCCAUCCCCGCCUGCAGAGCCGAGGCCCAGCCCGGGGACCGCCCCGUCAUUCCUCCUCGGAGGGACGCAC
RNAcentral lists this long non-coding RNA (416 nucleotides) under Homo sapiens (human). RNAcentral describes it as "HSALNT0177423". The record is from RNAcentral. Lineage: Eukaryota; Metazoa; Chordata; Mammalia; Primates; Hominidae.